RNAcentral lists this transfer RNA (72 nucleotides) under Camelus bactrianus (Bactrian camel). It matches the Rfam family "tRNA". From Rfam's summary of the family: Transfer RNA (tRNA) molecules are approximately 80 nucleotides in length. Their secondary structure includes four short double-helical elements and three loops (D, anti-codon, and T loops). Lineage: Eukaryota; Metazoa; Chordata; Mammalia; Artiodactyla; Camelidae. RNAcentral also lists the same sequence under 3 other names. The record is from Rfam by way of RNAcentral.
GAGGGUAUGGCUCAGUGGUAGAGCACAUGCUUAGCAUACAUGAGGUCCUGGGUUCAAUUUCCAGUACCUCCA